Molecule: non-coding RNA, 3531 nt
Organism: Drosophila melanogaster (fruit fly)
Lineage: Eukaryota; Metazoa; Arthropoda; Insecta; Diptera; Drosophilidae
Source: Ensembl
AGAACAUUCGUCGAGACGCUCUAGCUCCAAGCCACAGAGGAGGCAGCCAUGUGAGGAUGUUGGGUGGGUGGAACUGGUAUCCGGAGACGCCUCCAAUCGCGCAACAAAAACAGAACGCUGCACCUGAGUUGGCUGAGGAACUGAGGAGCAGCCAAGGAGCAAGGAUUGUGUGUGGUUCGGCGUAGGCAUCCACGUCUGUCUGUCGCCCAUUUUCAAGUUGCAUAAUUUUGUUUUCCUUUCACAGCGAGCUAGCUCAUUUCUCGCGUCUCCCACAGGCGAACUCCACCAGGCAUACAGCCCGUACAGCCCACCAGUCCAUCCAUCCAGCCACCAACUCCACACCCAUCUGGUGUGCACAUUCUUGGCUGCAUUCAUACUUUUCACACCCUUUAGGAUUAUUUCGUGCAUGGCAUCUCAGGGCUGGCAACUGGAGAGGCUGUGCUCGCUGCUUCCAGGAGGAAAGUCGUGGCCAGGAGCUGCUCCUGUUGCCAUUUGCCCUGAAUGGAACUCGUUUCUGUUCUCAUUUCGCCCAUUCACUGUGCUGUGCACCUGCUUUUUUUUAAAGCAAUUUAAAUUAACAGCAAUGACGACGACCAAGUCCUGCCAGGAGGAGCAGAGGAGAACAGUGAGUGAAUGCGACUCCGUGUGUGUUUGUUUAUGCCCCACGGCAUCCAGAAGGUGGGCAGCUGGGGGUUGGAGGAUUUGUGGUGCUGGGGGAUGUGUGCGUUCCCGACAUGCAAUUGGAAUGCAAUUUGUUAUGGGAAGUUAAGUCUCCACUUGUCAGUUAAGUUUACGCUUGGCUGUUUGCCCGUUGUCGUCGUCCUCGCAGGUUGCCAUGCAGUUAUGGUCCCGGAUCAUGGCACUUGGCCUCCUGCUGCUCCUGCUGCUCCUGCUCCUCUCCUGCUGCUCCUUCUACUCCAUUUUGCCCACCCUGUCUGCGACCGUCCUUGUUGGGCAGUUAAAAAAUAAUUAAACUCUUUAAAUAUUUAAAUUAAUUUGUGCUGUGCCAUGCAGUUGUGCACAAGAAAAAUAAACCGAAAUUCCGCACUUAAUUGGCAAGGACAGAGCUGCUGCUGACGGGGCGAAUGAGUGAUAUUUGUGUUUUUUGGGAGGGGAUAAUUCGCAGACUUGCCACUAGAAACGUAGUCUAACCAAGCAUUCAUUUAACAUUUAAUGAAAAAAGUAGCAAACACAAUUAAAUUCAAAUAUUUGUCAAAAAUUUUAUGAAUUUAUGAAAAGUCAAAAGACGCAAAGCACAGUUAUGUAUAAAAAAUGAAUUGUUAUAAGCGAUUGUGGAAAAUAAUCUUCAGGCAAUUUAGCUUUUAAAAAGCUAACUCCCCAAAAUAUUUUGCCACCGGAUCAAGGAAUAUUGAUCCUGAACAAAAAGAAUAAAAUAUAUAUUUUUAUAUGGUCGGAAACGCUUCCUUCUGCCUGUUACAUACUUUUCAAUGAAUCUAGUAUGCCCUUUUACUAUCCAUAUAACGGGCAUAAUUACCAUCAAUAAAAAUAACGCCUAGACAAAAUAAUCUCCGGAUAAAUAAACCUCCAGAUAAAAUAGCCCCCAUUUUAAACAAGUCCUGGAAAAAUUAUCCCAAAUAAAGAACACACAGAUAAGUGAUUAUGUCGUCACCGCCUUCUUUCAAUUAUUAUAAAUUAUUAUACAUUUUCUGAUAGUUCCUAUAGCAGCUAUAUGGCAUAUAACAUAGGUAUACCGAUUGUUUCUUAUUUAUACGUAUACGUAAUAUAAGUUUCAGAUACGUUUAAAACAUUUUGUAAACUGAUUGUCAUCUGAUUUUUUUUCUUUUACUGUACCCAACUAUAAAAACAAGGGCCGACUAACAAGCCAAGCAAACACCACCAAAACAAUGUCCAGAAUCAUCCAAACGCAGAGCACGCAACUUUUGACUACUGGCGCCACUUUGGAUGCCCCGCCCAUCCGCCGCCCCCCCCACCUUCCUGGCAGUUGGGGCUUUAUAGGCGUUUACUUUGACAUAUCGCCGUUGACUUAACCAAGCCGCCCGGCCAACUAAUCGAGCUGAAGGCUUAACAACUUCGGAUACUUUCGUACUGAAAGUACAUACUGCGAACUGUGGGAGGAGCGCCUGAAAUUAUGCUACAUCCACACAAGCGGGCUGGAAAUGGACUCGGAAAAUCAGACGAUUUACAUGCAGGCAAAAUGUUGAUUAGAAAAUUAAUUAAGGCUUUUACGAUGGCACCGAGCUCGAAGCUCGGAGCUCUGAGCCCGGUUCUCCACUGGAAAACUUUCGCUUCGGCGAAUUUACGACAUUUUUAUGACGGCCUGCCAUGCGAAAGCGAGGUUUUCGGGGUUUCUCUGGGUGGGUUGCCUCGUAAAAAGUGCGUAAAAAGUUUCUGUCAGUGGCAGGAGCUCCUUUUUCCAGCUCCAGCUGAUAAGGCAGCCAGCCAUCAGAAUAUUCAAUGCUCCUCCAGCUCCCUUUUUUUCCCGGAACGCUUAUGCAGAUGGGCUCCGGCCGUGGAGUUACUGGCACAUUUCGUCCAAUAAAUAAAUUGUGCGCCCAAUGUGUGAAGCCUUUCAGUCGCUGGCUCCUUGUGCUCCUUGUGGGCGUCAACAUGCCCACAAUUUAUUAUUUGGGUGAUUUCGAAGGUGAAUGAACCCGAACAGGCAAACAAAUGUAUGCACGAAAGCCUGCCAAAAAAUUGAAUUCUAAAAUACAAAGAACUAAAACCUUACAAGAGAAAUGGUACCUGAGCAAAGUUUUUAAUCAAAGCAGAAAUCUAAGUACUAGGUGGUUUUGUAUUUAUAUAACUAAAGUCUCAAUAUAAUUGAGAUUGUAUUGAUCCUUAUGCAUAUUACUACAAACUUUUACUUUGAAGUGCUAGAGAUAGAUUUUAUUUUUCUGUGCAUAUUUAGCUUUAGCUUCGAAGCUCGAUUGGUGCCAUCCAGGAUCUACCCAGUUAUACAGAUCCCUGCCAGCAACGCCGGAACCCAGGAGCUCGAGUUCUAGCACCAGCACAACCAACCCCCAUUGAGUGCAGCAAACGACGAGGGGAGGAUUUCUCGGCUUGGGCGACUGCACAAUGGCAAAGAACUUGACGAAAUCAUUACUUCGCCCCGACAUUUAUUGAUGCCAUAAAGUUGAAGAUUUAUGCGUUGUGGCAGUCGCACAAAACAGCCAAAAAGCACCCGCCCAGGAGCAUUGCACCCGGUCCGGGGGGAAACCGCACGGGGCGAACGGAGUGCGGGGAAACCACCCGGCGAGGACAUCGAUACCCAGUUGCCCUCGAAUAAGGAAUAGCCCGCUUGCUACGUGGCCAUGUCAAAUGCUGGCUAUUUUGGCAUAUUGCAGCACAGUGGGGCACAGAGGAAUAACCCAUUUGUCCUGCGGAUUUGAUCGGAAGGGACACCCUCUCCUUAUCUUCACCAUUCAGAUACACACUCACCCACACACACAUACGCACACAACAAAAGCGUGUUAAUUUAUUUAAAUUGACUACGUGCAAAGUUUACUGGCGUCUUGGGCCCCAACUCCACCACCUUUGAAGGAGUUUUGU